Molecule: ribosomal RNA, 392 nt
Filed under: uncultured bacterium
Lineage: Bacteria
Description: partial 16S ribosomal RNA
Rfam family: Bacterial small subunit ribosomal RNA
Source: RNAcentral
AUACGGAGGAUCCGAGCGUUAUCCGGAUUUAUUGGGUUUAAAGGGUGCGCAGGCGGCCAUUUAAGUCAGCGGUUAAAUCGUGGGGCUCAACCCCAUUCUGCCGUUGAUACUGGGUGGCUUGAUUGCGGUCGAGGUUGGCGGAAUUCGUUGUGUAGCGGUGAAAUGCAUAGAUAUGACGAAGAACACCGAUUGCGUAGGCAGCUGACCAGACCGCAAAUGACGCUCAUGCACGAAAGUGCGGGGAUCGAACAGGAUUAGAUACCCUGGUAGUCCGCACAGUAAACGAUGAAUACUUGUUUUCGGCGAUAUAAUGUCGGAGGCAAAGCGAAAGCGAUAAGUAUUCCACCUGGGGAGUACGCCGGCAACGGUGAAACCCAAAUGAAUUGACGGGG